Thalictrum thalictroides is the source of this 126-nucleotide non-coding RNA. Lineage: Eukaryota; Viridiplantae; Streptophyta; Magnoliopsida; Ranunculales; Ranunculaceae. The record is from the annotation of a GenBank genome assembly.
UAAAAGGGUCGGUUGGCUAAAUAUGCCACGCUCGCCCUCGAUGGUGAGUGCUGUAUGGCUAUCAAGACAUAUGGCCGACACAAUUUGUGGCAACUUGUAGGGUUGGCUCGCUCGGCCGAUCCUCUC